GUCAGGGAAGGAAAGGAGAACAUGGGAUGGCAUCCUGUUGUAGGUAGUAAGUUUGCUGGAAGGAUUCCUUAGAGUGGUAAAAUUUAGCAAGACUGGUCAACAAUUAACGAGCAAUAACAAUGAAGUGUGGUUGGCGCUUUGCCAGGGCAAUUCCAGGGAACAACAGCAGCAACCGCCAACCUAGCCUAAGAUCCUGGGGGAGCCGACACUUAAACUGGAACCUGGAAGGUGAUAGUACUAGCAAGUGGCAAAGCUGGGGUGUGACAUGUGUAACGCCUACGUGCUCCUGCCUCUCUAUGAAGGAAAGAGUGGGACAGAGGCAGGAGGAGAUUGUGGCACAGGUGGUGACGUACAUGGUCUUCCAUGUAACUCAGGGGCACGGGAGUCUAGGCUUGAAACAUUGCUGCAAUGCCAUGAUGGCCUCUUGGCGUGGGCUGAGUGGGAAGCAAAGACAACCAGAAGACCUCAGUGGAAAAGAAGGCCAGGGACUGCGAGCUGACACGCUGGACGGCAGCAGCUGUGUGGAAGAUGAGGGAGUGUGAGAAGUGGCAAGUCAGAGAGGGCAUUCUCAGAGUUUGGGGUCAGGGCAGGUGAGGUUAUUCGAGGGUGGCUGAAAGUGCUGGAAAUCACAGAGUUCAGGAUCUCAAGGGAAAGAGAGGAUGGGAAAAGAGCACAGAUUUUGGAGUCAGAUGGAUCCUAGCUCUGCUGUUAGCGGGCUGAGUGACCUUGGUCAAGUUGAGUGCCCACGUUGAUUACUUUGGAGGCGGUGGUCGGAAUUUGCAGAAGUGAAAGACCCGAGGGUGUGUCAGCUCACAGGGUGAGUGCCAAGGCCGGAGCCGGGAGGUCAGCCCCCGAGCCAGCCAGUGCUCAGUUGGCCCGGAAUUCCUGAGUGUCUGCAGUCAGCAGGGCAGCCUCUGCAGGCUCCUGGAAGGCAUCUUCCUUUAUCAGAGGUGCUGGCGGGUCAGUAUCAAAGCUUUCUUGCUGGCCUGGAGAAUCUGCAUUCUGGCACCCCUCAGCCUGUCUUUGGCUAGACCCAGAGGACCAGGAAAACUACCUUUCGUUUGGCAUUGGAAGAGUUGGGUUGAAUUCUGAUCCAGGCACUUGUGUGCUCUGUGACCUUAGGAAAUGUAUUCAAAGUUCCUGAGCUUCCGUAUCCUAAUCUGCGGCCAUUUGUACUUUCCUGGUAGGUUUAGUGGUGAGGAUUAAAUAGGGUUGUAAAAAGUCUAUGGUGCAGGGAGUGCCUGGCACAGGGUACUAUCUUGGAGGGAUGGGGAGAGCGGGAGGUGUGGGGCAGCGAGGCUCGCCUUCGGAGGCAGACAGGGUCUGGUUCUGUCUCUCCCAUUUUCUACUGCUUGAGUGCCAGCUAUGCUUAACCUGGAGGCUGUUGCUUCAGCUCUAAGAUGGAGAUGCUGCUUGCUUCAUAGUUUCUGUAAGGAUUAAAAGUUGUCGUUACCGCCUUAAGGGAACUCCUAGGCCAUUGCGGGUACCUGGACCCAUGCCCAACUCUGGGAGACCAAGUCAGAGCUGGGGAUGCUCAAUCAGACUCCAUGCUGGAGGGCUUGGGGGAGAAGCCUGGGAAGGAAAGUCUGGGAGGGCUUCCUGAAGGAGGUGUUUGAAGUGGAGCCAGGCUGGAGGGACAGAGAGAGCAGGAGGGCCCCUGGUCUGGUGAACUGCAUAGCAGAGAGAGAGUUUACGUAGGAGCUGGCUGCCAAGUGGAACAGGGUCAGACCAUGAAUGAGGUGGGGCGGCUGGGGGUGGAGGGUUAGUGUGGCUGGAUGUGGGAGCCAUGGGGUCCAGGGGUCUGGGAGGAGGCCCAAGGAGUUUGACUUCUGUAGGUGGACACUUCUGAGCCAGAAGCACUGGUCUGGGAGGGGAAUGGCCCUCUCCCUGGGUGGAGCUUUCUCUCCUCUGCCUCCCAUGUUCUGAGGCUGCUUCUGCUAUUUGAGCUUCUCUUAGUUUCCCCGAGAUGAUUACCCGGGAGACCUGGGGAGACAAGGAAGGAGGCAGCGAGGCCUUGGGGAAUAGACGCGCUCAGCCUGGAAUUCUGUUGGGAGCACAGAAAACACACACUGAACUGUGUUGCCAUGGAAGCUUACCUAACGCUUCCCUGGGGCUAAACUGGCCUUGGCUGGCCCAGGCCCAGCCCAUUUUCACCUUCCAGGUCAGUAGACUUCCCGUAAGACCCACGAAUGGGUCACUGUGUCCCCCUUUGGGGUUAUCUCAGCCCCUAGAGAGGAGGGAAUCCGGGAGGUGGUUUGGUUAUCGGGUGGUGGGGAGCAGGGCUGUCCUUGAUCUAAGCUGCACUCCCUUCUCCCUCCUAUUUUCUCUCUCAUAGACACACACAUACACACACGUACACACACACGAUGGCGCAGGCUGAGUCAAUCAUUUGUGAAUUCAUUCAUCGUGCGUUGGUAGAAUGCCUGCCAGAUUGCUAAACAAAAUUAGAAAAAUGCUUUUGGAUCUUCUCUUCUGGGGCAUCCACAUGACCGCUCCCCUUGAUGGGGAUAACUGCACACUGACUCUGUGAAAGAGCAUCGCUGGAGGAAGAGCUCGCGCAGGCUUUGGACUGACCCCAGACUGAGGUCAAGUCUUGAAGGACUUUUAGUUCCUUAUCUGUAAAAAGGGGGUAAUAUUACCUUCCUCAUGGGCUAUUUUAGGGUUAUGAAUAAUACACGUAAGAGAUCUGACACUUUGAUGCUUAGUGGGAACCAACAAAUGAGAGCUGCCAUCAUCAUCACCAUCUUUUCCGCCACCACCACCGCCACCGCCAUCAUGGUCACAGCAGGCCUGGGUUGAGAGUUGGGGAAGGGGAGGGGGGUCAACAGGCAGGGCUCGGUUUGCAUGGCUAGCUCCCCAGGAAUUGGAUAUGCAAGCUUCUGUUUUGCAUGGUGGCAGAUUUUUGCAUUUUUCCCUUUAUCACUGUUCCACCUCCCUCUAGUUACCCUCAACCCCCCUGAGCCAGCUCUCUCUCCAGCCUAAGCACCAAUCAUGGGCUGGGCAGGCCCUGCAGAGGACACAAAGUUGCAUGAGACACUGCUCCCUCAUGCAAGGGGAACACCAGGGCUUAAAUUCUCCCACGACAAAUGUGUCAAAGCCGUGCGAACAAGACCACGAGUUCCACGGGGGCUGGUCUUGACGUCGAUGAAAGGGUGGGGCAAGCUGCACAGAGGAAGGCUUUAGGAAAGGCAGAGGACAAGCAGGGAGGGGUGGUGACAGUCAAGCUAACAUUGAUGGAAGGCCUCCGACUGCCGGGCACUGUUCCCUGAUCUAGUGUUCAUAUCGGGCCUCUUGGGUAGUUAUUAUCUGCAUUUUUGGCAGAGGGAAAGGAACCUCAGAGAAAUUAAGUAAUUUGCCCAACUUCACAAUGUUAGGAAGUCGCUCCAGAAUUCUUUUGCUUGCCUUCACUAUCCUUCAGCUUUUGGUCACACGUGGCUGCGGAGCAGAACGUGCGUAAAUACGCUCAGUCCCACCAGCAGACGGGGUUCCCAUUCCAGUUCUUCCCUUCACAGCUGUGUGCACUUGGGCACUUUCCCAUUCCUGCCUGGCAGGGUCUUUAUGAGUUUAAAUGAGGUGAAGUGUGCAUUGCACACAGUAGGGCCACAGGACGUGUUUCUGAGGCUCUGACAAUCCAUCUGAUGCUCGAGUCCCCUUGACCUUUGCCUUGAACCCUUCCUCACUCACCGGAAGCCGAGACUUCCUAGAUGAUGCUACAGAUUUCACUUGCCCGGAGCUCGAAGUUUUGGGAAGCCCUUGCUUACGGGUGAGCAGAAGUCUCUGGGGGCUCCUUCCUGCGGGUUCCAGUUGCAUCCCUUGGACCACACAGAUGAAUGUCCCUUCUUCCUCCUGGCAGGCGGUGUCUCUUCUCCAGGCCUUGCACUCCCAGCUCCUGCAGCUAUGUCUCUGUGGAACAUGGUUCCCAUUCCCCUCCUUAACCUAGACACCUCCUUGCAUCACCUCUUACUUGUUCAGUUCCCUCCUAAGAGUCAAACAAGAGCCAAACACUGUUCUCCAGGCAUGGUGUGAUCUGCGGGGAGAAAAUGGGCUCUUCCACACUGUCAUCUGCUGCUGAGGACCACGGAGGGCUUCAUGGCGGCCUCCUCAAGCUGUUGCUGGAGCGAAGGCGUGCACACUUGCACACAAGUGUGAUGAACAAUGGUAAGAAGGCAAGCGUCAACUGUGUGUCCAGGGGAGGGGCUGCUCAUUCCCUCUGCAGCAUCUACUCUGGGCAGGCACCCUGCCAGGUGCAGACUGGCACAGAGAUGGGAACCAGACAGACGCCAGAGGACCCUGCCCUGUCCGCCAGGAGCUGUGGUCUCACACUCGUGGGAUGAACGUGAUGGCAAGGUAGGUCCAGCGGCUCAUAGUAAGUAUGUGCGCCAGUCCGGCUGGAGCAGAUGCUAGGGCUCAGCGGGAGCUCCUGGAAGCACACCUUUGUCACCUUCUUACUUCCCUUCAUCUUGGACUCAGCCAUGCAAUCAACAACUACAUCCUGUUGGUUAUUUCUUCUCACCGUAUGUGGCCUCCACCCUGACUUCCCACCCCACUGCUCCUGCCACACCGCAGGCCUCGUCCCUUGCGUCCUGCAAUAGCCCCCUUCCUAGUCUCCUGCCUCCAGUUUGUGCCCCUACCCCCUAACCUACAUAUCUCAGCCCGCUUAGUCUGCCUACAGGACUUCUUUAGCCAUGUCACCCUUCUGUCCCCACACCUUCCUUGGCCCUUGUGACCUACAGGAUAAACUCUGUCUGGCUUUGAAACCCUCGAUCCCACCCAACUCCUCACCACCCACCUUUUCUGCUCUGUUCUAUGGGAAUCCUGUUCCCGACCAAUGACUCAUCGCAUUUCCAGAUCUUUCCAUUCUUUUCUAAGCUCAAUUCAAUCAAGCCUAAAACCAUUUUAAAUAGCUCUUCGCUUCCUCUGAAGUCCUAUAGCGUAUGUCUUAAUCACUCAUUUAUGUGAAAGCAAAAUUUUGUUGCUAAGGCACACAAGGUAGACUUUGGCCAGGCAGUAUUUUUAUUUAUACAAGGGCUCAGCGUGUACACAGAUAUCUUUAUACCCCUGCAACCCUCUCCAUUUCCUUUGUGUACAUUCGGGUUAGUGGAGGUAGUGAACAGCUGUUGUUUUCACCUGUCCAACAUCUCUUCCUCAUCUUUUGCCCCAUCACCUUUCUGCCCCUCUUUUAUAUAGUUUGGGUGGGGCUGGCCAUCCCUCUCCACGGCCCGGGCACAUGAUCCGGUCUGGUCAAGAUUACAGUAUUCUAGUCCCUUGCCCACAGUGAUUGGUUCUGGGGUGAGCAAGGGCCCUAAGUCAGCCCAAUGAGAGUCAGCCUUGGAAUUUAGCUGGAAGCACUGGGAAAGAGGCACUCCAUGGUCAUCGUCCUUGCUGCCAAGAAGGAAGCUAACACAGAGGAAAACAGUCAAGAGAAGAAGAGAAGGAUGGCCCUGCUGUCAUCGCCAAGCCUCCCAUCCGUCUACGCUGAAAGCCAAGUUCACCCCUGCACUUCCCAAUUGUGGGAGCAAAUAAAUCAUCUUGUGCUUAAGCCCGU
This is a long non-coding RNA of Equus asinus (donkey), 5545 nucleotides long. The record is from Ensembl. Lineage: Eukaryota; Metazoa; Chordata; Mammalia; Perissodactyla; Equidae.